Long non-coding RNA from Grus americana (Whooping crane), 304 nucleotides. RefSeq lists it as uncharacterized. The record is from RefSeq and is a predicted model, not a curated record. The transcript has 3 exons. Lineage: Eukaryota; Metazoa; Chordata; Aves; Gruiformes; Gruidae.
GAAAGAAGUGAUGGCUGGUUGCGACGGGGCACGUUGUCCUCCUGACCCCAUUCGGAUGGCCCCAGCAGCUCAGAGGAGCCUAUGCAUUUACCAGCCACGCACCGGGUGUACAGACCCGGCCAGGACCUGGGGAAAACCAGACGGGAGCCCUGAGCUGAAGCACAACGCCGCUUGGUGUCAUGGACGAUAACAAAGCUAUCUCUACAAGGCAGAAAAAGGACACACGUUCUUAAUGAUAUAGAAUUUUAUUUUUUUAAUUCCUGAGGUUAAAAAAGGGGAAAAAAAAGCAUCAAGAAACAUUCCA